GAAGCUGAGCAAUAUUUCUCGACACUUUAUAAAACCCAGGUAAAGGAACUUAAAGAAGAAAUUGAAGAAAAAAACAGAGAAAAUUUAAAGAAAAUACAGGAACUACAAAAUGAAAAAGAAACUCUUGCUACUCAGUUGGAUCUAGCAGAAACAAAAGCUGAGUCUGAGCAGUUGGCGCGAGGCCUUCUGGAAGAACAGUAUUUUGAAUUGACGCAAGAAAGCAAGAAAGCUGCUUCAAGAAAUAGACAAGAGAUUACAGAUAAAGAUCACACUGUUAGUCGGGUAAGUGUGAUAGUCAGGUAAGUUAUAUAAAAUUUAUUUAAAUCACAAUAGGUCACAUCUUGAAGUAUUAGGGUAAGUGUGUGUGCAAGUGUAUUUACUUCUGUGUUAAUAUAUAGUGGUCAUUCUGUACUCAUGUAUAAAAUAGUUUGUAUAAUACCAAACAUUUGUUAAUUAUUGAAAUUCUUGUUCAAGAUAUUGGGCUUUUGUUUGUAUAGGCACAGAACCAAUGCAAUAUUGGGCUGUUUUUCUGGCUGUAGAUCUUAUUAGUUAUAUUUCAUAUGAAGUAAUGGCUUAGCUUAAAUUCAUUUGUUGUUCUCUUAAUACAUUGCAACUGAUUUUAUGGGCCAGAAUUCUGUGAAAUAUAGAGAAACAUUUGGGAAUGAAGAAUU
This 671-nucleotide small RNA is filed under the name Pan troglodytes (chimpanzee). Its description in RNAcentral is "retained intron". The record is from RNAcentral. Lineage: Eukaryota; Metazoa; Chordata; Mammalia; Primates; Hominidae.